AUACGUAGGGGGCGAGCGUUGUCCGGAAUGAUUGGGCGUAAAGGGCGCGUAGGCGGCCCGGUAAGUCUGGAGUGAAAGUCCUGUUUUUAAGAUGGGAAUUGCUUUGGAUACUGUCGGGCUUGAGUGCAGGAGAGGUAAGUGGAAUUCCCAGUGUAGCGGUGAAAUGCGUAGAGAUUGGGAGGAACACCAGUGGCGAAGGCGACUUAGUGGACUGUAACUGACGCUGAGGCGCGAAAGUGUGGGGAGCAAACAUGAUUAGAUUCCCUAGUAGUCCACGCCGUAAACGAUGAAUACUAAGUGUUGGAAUUAUCCAGUGCUGCAGUUAACGCAAUAAGUAUUCCGCCUGGGGAGUAUGCACGCAAGUGUGAAACUCAAAGGAAUUGACGGGG
Molecule: ribosomal RNA, 389 nt
Filed under: uncultured bacterium
Lineage: Bacteria
Description: partial 16S ribosomal RNA
Rfam family: Bacterial small subunit ribosomal RNA
Source: RNAcentral